GUUGAGGGGCAGAAAGCUCCAUCACACCGUCAAAUAAAACGAAUGCUUUCUGAUUCAGAUUUGGCUCCACACUAGUAUAAAGACUGUUCAGACAACUAACUCAGAUGUAGGUUGCCCAACACCUGAGGUCAGAUGAAAUGCACUCCACCUAGGACAUCUGGAAGCAUUGCUAAGACCAGACUGGGGCAAAUCAUGCCAUUGCUGAGGGAACGUGUAGGUCCUGGUCGUUCUCCUCUGCACCUUCUCUGUCCUUCCAAACACUGUGUGAGAGAUGUGUACAGGUUAAAUCCCACCUAAGCCUUGGAGUCUGGAAGAACUGAACCACGUGCCUGAAUUGAGGAAUUCUCAGCAGGAUU
Molecule: long non-coding RNA, 356 nt
Filed under: Anas platyrhynchos platyrhynchos (common mallard)
Lineage: Eukaryota; Metazoa; Chordata; Aves; Anseriformes; Anatidae
Description: lncRNA (ENSAPLG00000018756.1)
Source: RNAcentral